Molecule: unclassified non-coding RNA, 344 nt
Filed under: soil metagenome
Description: partial contains 5.8S ribosomal RNA, internal transcribed spacer 2, and large subunit ribosomal RNA
Rfam family: 5.8S ribosomal RNA (bases 4-120)
Source: RNAcentral
GAUAAGAACGUAGCGAAAUGCGAUAAGUAAUGCGAAUUGCAGAAUUUCCGUGAGUCAUCGAAUCUUUGAACGCACAUUGCGCCCACUGGUAUUCCGGUGGGCAUGCCUGUUCGAGCGUCAUUAUCCUCCCUCAAACCCCGGGUUUGGUGUUGGACCCAAGUUGUGUGAACAACUGGUCUCAAAGACAAUGACGGCGUCCGUGGGACCCUCGGUGCAACGAGCUUUUAGGAGCACGCGCCGAGUUGCAAGGACCUUCCGGGCCGGUCUCCUUUACUAUUUUACAAGGUUGACCUCGGAUCAGGUAGGAAUACCCGCUGAACUUAAGCAUAUCAAUAAGCGGAGGA